This 465-nucleotide ribosomal RNA is filed under the name uncultured bacterium. RNAcentral describes it as "partial 16S ribosomal RNA". It matches the Rfam family "Bacterial small subunit ribosomal RNA", at positions 28 to 507 of the family's 1533-position model. The record is from RNAcentral.
GACGAACGCUGGCGGCGUGCUUAACACAUGCAAGUCGUACGGUAAGGCCCUUUCGGGGGUCCACGAGUGGCGAACGGGUGAGUAACACGUGAGUAACCUGCCCACAACUUUGGGAUAACGCUAGGAAACUGGUGCUAAUACUGGAUAUGUGCUCCUGCUGCAUGGUGGGGGUUGGAAAGCUCCGGCGGUUGUGGAUGGACUCGCGGCCUAUCAGCUUGUUGGUGGGGUAGUGGCCUACCAAGGCGGCGACGGGUAGCCGGCCUGAGAGGGUGACCGGCCACAUUGGGACUGAGAUACGGCCCAGACUCCUACGGGAGGCAGCAGGGGGGAAUAUUGCACAAUGGGCGCAAGCCUGAUGCAGCAACGCCGCGUGCGGGAUGACGGCCUUAGGGUUGUAAACCGAUUUCAGCAGGGACGAAGCUUUUUGUGACGGUACCUGCAGAAGAAGCACCGGCUAACUACGUG